UUUCUACAUAUCUUUGCCAUUUAUUGUCUUGCUUAUAAUAAUGAUAAUAGUCAUUUAUAAAUAUCAUUUUAGAGCACACAUUUGAAAUCGGUAGGCGAGGCUGUGUUAUAGUACUUUGGGUUUUCUAUUUUGUAAUUUAAUAUACAAAUUCAAACACCAUGAUUUAUUUUUAAUAAAAUAAGGCAUCAUAUUCCUACGAAAACUUAAAAAAAAGUAUUUUUAUUGCUGUUAUAGAUCAACUUUAAUGAUUAUCAAGCCGUGAUCGCCUUUGUAAAUAUUGAAAGAACACACUGGAAGUUGCUGUACUUAUUUCCUGCUAUAAGAUCAGUAUUUUUGGUGGAUCCAGCGGCAAAUUCCAAAGAGAAAGCAGACUCGGAAAAUGCUGCGAAAAGAGUACGGGAAUACUUCAAGAUGAGGAGGACCUGCUAUGGCAAGG
Gymnodraco acuticeps is the source of this 436-nucleotide long non-coding RNA. RefSeq lists it as uncharacterized. The transcript is spliced from 3 exons. The record is from RefSeq and is a predicted model, not a curated record. NCBI's taxonomy places the organism in Eukaryota, Metazoa, Chordata, Actinopteri, Perciformes, Bathydraconidae.